UUAAGUUUGUUUAUUCAGUUUGUGGAUGUUUCUCAGCUCAUUAACAUUUCUUCACCCAAACUACAGAUUGCUCCUUUAAAAAGUUAAGACUCGGCUCGAUAACAAAGAAAUCGUCACGUUCGCUUCACCGGUGAGGAAGUCUGAGCCGCCGACGAGAUGUUUGAGCAGGAAAAUGAUUUUAAUUAACCAAAUAAUGUCAAAGAUUAAAGCCGACGUCCCAAAAAGUCGAAAUGUUGCACUUUGUAAUCUGUUACAGUUUCUACUCGUGUUUCAAAGAAAGAGUGAAGACGUUGUGUUGAAAUACUCUGUUCCUCUGUGAGCGGUAACAAGUCACCCACAGGGAAAGUCAGUUACAGGUAACUAUGUUAUCAAACAGAUGUAAUCGAGUAUAAAGUGCAGAAUUUGUCUCCAAAAUCUAAAAAGAAGCAGAAGAAUUAAGUAAAAGGAAAGAAAAAGGAAACGCUGAAGUAAAGUAGAAGUUCCUUCAGAUUCGUACACACAGAACUAAACGUACUCAGUUUCUCUCCCACAGACUCUGAAGACUCGACAUGCAGACGGCUGUAACGCUGCCAGUGAAGACUGUGAUGUGGAAGAGUCACAGCAGGAUUCAUUAACAGACACAGUAACUAUAAAAAGCUCUUCUUCCAGGAGAGGCGCUGACUCAUGGAUUCGGUAAAGCGGGCCGACUUCCUCAGCACAGGACCAGAACCACACAGGUAGAGACACAGUCGUCUAACUUCUGGUCUAAAUCCGUCGUCACUGGGAGCGUUCAGCAUCUUCUGUCGGGCCGGAGCAGAGCUUCCUCCAGCCUCCCUCAGGGGGGAAGGUGACUGGACCGGAAGAGGAAGUCAGAACAAGAAGCGGGCCGGACACGAGCAGAACUACAUUAGAUCACUCUCAUUCCUCGAGCUUCUGGCUUUCCAGAUGGAGUCUCGGCUGAGUCGACUCGAAGGAAUGUGAUCACAUGCGAUUGAUCGGCCUCCAUGACGACGCAGAGUGACUCAGUGGAGCCACGUGUUGCCAUGGCGGCGAAAUGACUGAGUAACUGAGAGCGAGCUGACAUUUCUAUACGUCUCCAUGGAAACGUGAGGAACCACCCUCAGCCGUCGAGGUGUCGGUGCCCCUUUUUGCUAUUUCAGUGCCUCCUUGCUUCCCUCAUGAAGGAGGUGUGGUGCUGUUGGAAUGGGGUGGAGGGGAUGUGAGCGGCGCCGAGAUCCUUUGUUCAACGCCGGAGAAACAAAAAUAAUCAGUCCAGUGUUUAUAUUUGAGUAAUGAACGUUUCAUUUUGGAGAUUCUGACCUUUUCCAGGAUGCCCAGUGGUGAGCGGCCAUGGAUCCAGUCCAGCGACACACAACAAGAAGUGUGGUUGGCUGGUCGGUCUCUGUAAAUAUUUCUCCUGGGAUCCGUCGUUAAUGGCCACCAUGAUUUUACCCAGAGGAGCGUUCAAGUCUCGUCUGGUGGCUGUUUAGUUUCCUCAGCAGCAGCGCCUGCCCGUGUUUUUACAGUCUCGCUGGCGUCCGGCUGCCUGUGAGCGGUCGUUUGCUGAUGGCCAAAUCAGGACACAUUCCACAGAGGUCACAGGUCGAACGCAGUGGAAAUCUACAGGAUAUAUUCAGGAAUGUAGGAUUUAAAGGUUUCCUCCUCGCUCUUCCCGCUCCCACCCGAACGCUGCUGCCCUGCCACUGAUGAAUGCAUGCAGGGACGGACAGGAACGUCCCUCCACUGUUCCCCCCUGCAGUAAAUAAGACGGCCUCUCCGAGGAGGUAACGCUGGCACGCUGUCAGAAAUAUUCUCAACUUCCUGUGACCCCCAGAAACAAGAACAAUGGCUCUGGGCUCCUGUGAGACGAGUACACGUGACGAUGUUGGACGAGCUGAUUGUUUUCGUGCUGCUGGCUGGAGAAACAUCAAGUGAGAGUGAAGCAUGAGAGCAGGAAAGCUGCAGACCAGGAGGACUGAACAGGACUCAGAGUCCUGAUGCGUGUGACGGACUCGGCUUCUUCCCCCGAGACUCUGAGCUCCCUCGUCUCGCAGUUCACACAGACUGUGGUCGGUCCUGCUCUUCAUCUUCUUCAUCUUCAUCUUCUUUUAGUAUUACUGAUUCUCAUAUCUCCAUUAUUGAAUCUGUUACUUCUGUUGUAGCCUCUAGUUUAAGGAGCCAUAAUGAGUUUCUGCCCUUGUUAGUCUCAAUCAGGAUUAUAAUGUGGUUAGUUAAUGGCUGAAUAUUUCCUCAGAAUAACAUAAUCCGUUUUCUGUGAUGUAGUUACUGAAUUUGAACCUGGACUGUGCAGGACUGUGUGAUGUGGACACUUUGUGCUUUCCAGCUGAAAUUAAACAACGUUCAAACUUUAAUUAAAGCCAGAAGCACCUCAAGCUCCCGAACCUCCGAAUUUAAACUGAACUUUACUUCACAGGAAGCUCGCUGUCCUCCGUCCUCCCCCACUUUUUUAAAAUAAACUCAC
Molecule: long non-coding RNA, 2461 nt
Organism: Acanthopagrus latus (yellowfin seabream)
Lineage: Eukaryota; Metazoa; Chordata; Actinopteri; Spariformes; Sparidae
Exons: 4
Source: RefSeq, a predicted model, not a curated record